AACGAACGCUGGCGGCAGGCCUAACACAUGCAAGUCGAGCGCCCCGCAAGGGGAGCGGCGGACGGGUGAGUAACGCGUGGGAACGUGCCUCUUGCUACGGAAUAGCCUCGGGAAACUGGGAGUAAUACCGUAUGUGCCCUACGGGGGAAAGAUUUAUCGGCAAGAGAUCGGCCCGCGUUGGAUUAGGUAGUUGGUGGGGUAAUGGCCUACCAAGCCGACGAUCCAUAGCUGGUUUGAGAGGAUGAUCAGCCACACUGGGACUGAGACACGGCCCAGACUCCUACGGGAGGCAGCAGUGGGGAAUCUUAGACAAUGGGCGCAAGCCUGAUCUAGCCAUGCCGCGUGAGCGAUGAAGGCCUUAGGGUUGUAAAGCUCUUUCAGUGGGGAAGAUAAUGACUGUACCCACAGAAGAAGCCCCGGCUAACUCCGUGCCAGCAGCCGCGGUAAU
Molecule: ribosomal RNA, 448 nt
Filed under: uncultured bacterium
Lineage: Bacteria
Description: bacterial SSU rRNA
Rfam family: Bacterial small subunit ribosomal RNA
Source: RNAcentral